This 969-nucleotide ribosomal RNA is filed under the name Lactiplantibacillus plantarum. RNAcentral's name for it is "bacterial SSU rRNA". It matches the Rfam family "Bacterial small subunit ribosomal RNA", at positions 63 to 1000 of the family's 1533-position model. The record is from RNAcentral. Lineage: Bacteria; Bacillati; Bacillota; Bacilli; Lactobacillales; Lactobacillaceae.
CGAACUCUGGUAUUGAUUGGUGCUUGCAUCAUGAUUUACAUUUGAGUGAGUGGCGAACUGGUGAGUAACACGUGGGAAACCUGCCCAGAAGCGGGGGAUAACACCUGGAAACAGAUGCUAAUACCGCAUAACAACUUGGACCGCAUGGUCCGAGCUUGAAAGAUGGCUUCGGCUAUCACUUUUGGAUGGUCCCGCGGCGUAUUAGCUAGAUGGUGGGGUAACGGCUCACCAUGGCAAUGAUACGUAGCCGACCUGAGAGGGUAAUCGGCCACAUUGGGACUGAGACACGGCCCAAACUCCUACGGGAGGCAGCAGUAGGGAAUCUUCCACAAUGGACGAAAGUCUGAUGGAGCAACGCCGCGUGAGUGAAGAAGGGUUUCGGCUCGUAAAACUCUGUUGUUAAAGAAGAACAUAUCUGAGAGUAACUGUUCAGGUAUUGACGGUAUUUAACCAGAAAGCCACGGCUAACUACGUGCCAGCAGCCGCGGUAAUACGUAGGUGGCAAGCGUUGUCCGGAUUUAUUGGGCGUAAAGCGAGCGCAGGCGGUUUUUUAAGUCUGAUGUGAAAGCCUUCGGCUCAACCGAAGAAGUGCAUCGGAAACUGGGAAACUUGAGUGCAGAAGAGGACAGUGGAACUCCAUGUGUAGCGGUGAAAUGCGUAGAUAUAUGGAAGAACACCAGUGGCGAAGGCGGCUGUCUGGUCUGUAACUGACGCUGAGGCUCGAAAGUAUGGGUAGCAAACAGGAUUAGAUACCCUGGUAGUCCAUACCGUAAACGAUGAAUGCUAAGUGUUGGAGGGUUUCCGCCCUUCAGUGCUGCAGCUAACGCAUUAAGCAUUCCGCCUGGGGAGUACGGCCGCAAGGCUGAAACUCAAAGGAAUUGACGGGGCCCGCACAAGCGGUGGAGCAUGUGGUUUAAUUCGAAGCUACGCGAAGAACCUUACCAGGUCUUGACAUACUAUGCAAAUCUA